AAUAAGUGUAUUUUUACACUGUUUAUAUCCAACAUUUGACCGUUCGUCUUAUUAAAAAAAUUUUAGGAUUAGUAUUUUUAUUAUUAUUAGAUGAUAAAAUAUGAAUAAUACUUUAUGUAUGACUAUUUUUUUAAUUUUUUCAUAUUUUUUUCAAAUAAGACGGAAGGUCAAACGUUGUACACGGAUAUCCACGGCUGCACUUAUU
Molecule: non-coding RNA, 205 nt
Organism: Oryza nivara
Lineage: Eukaryota; Viridiplantae; Streptophyta; Magnoliopsida; Poales; Poaceae
Source: Rfam